This is a long non-coding RNA of Hippocampus zosterae (dwarf seahorse), 2247 nucleotides long. RefSeq lists it as uncharacterized. The transcript is spliced from 3 exons. NCBI's taxonomy places the organism in Eukaryota, Metazoa, Chordata, Actinopteri, Syngnathiformes, Syngnathidae. The record is from RefSeq and is a predicted model, not a curated record.
AUGCGAGCACGUACGGAACCUGAACUUGUUGCCUUCAGCGACGUAAUGCAAUGAAAAUUAUGAAAGAAAAUAUAUUGAAUGACUUCACUUUUACAGCUGUUAAAUUGCUAAACACUUUGACCCGCGGUCUUUUUGCGUUCACUAUGACUAACUUUACAACAUUCUACCAAACAAGUGCGGCACGAAUGUAAAGGAGAUUAAAAAGAAACAUUAUUAACCAUCAGUCGCUUAUUACCCCAGAUUACGAUAGAGACUAAUUGUCCUUUUGUUUAUCGCCACGCUUAUGUAAUUCAAACAAGCAACAAAAUGCCUCUUUGUAACCUGCAGCAUGUAUUAACUCAUUUUGACCACAUGGUGGCAGUAUGCUUCUUUGGAAUAAUUUCUCUUCCGCAAUUCUUCGCAGCUGCUUCCCCAUGAAGCUGAUGGGACAUUCAUUCUUAAGUCUUGUUGUCUUUGUUAGCGUUGUUUCAUAUUUUUAUGCUUUUCCGACUCAUGGUGACGUGCGCCUUUUGUCUAUAACGUGAUUAGGUGUCACUCUUCAUCAGUUAGUUCAUUAAUUGGCAACACUCCACCACCUGGGAUGACGCAGAGAGUAACCUCCAAAGAAAUGUCCUCCACCUCGCAUUGGCUCAAUUUGGAGUCCAACCAAGUUUUUCCCCCCCUUUUUUUGUGGACAAAUAUGCCAUAUUCCACCCCCCCCCCUAUUACCCCAUUGCCCAGACAUGAGGAAGGCUGGAGUCACGUGCCAGCAAUCUCGAAAGACAUUUCUGAGAUAAGCAGUUCAGAUAAUGGUUGACGGAUGGACAAUUAAAUAAAGGGGUCAUCUGCGCUCCCUCUGAUGGCGAUGGAGAUCUGGUGUGGACGAAGAGGCCGCAAUGGCUCCCUUGAGCUUUGUCAGAGGCCGCCCAUAUUGGAGCCAUUUCCUGUCUCAGGAGUGGGCAAAAGGCUUGACCCCUGGUGCACCCUUUCUAUGACUUGGCAGGAAGUCUUGAACAAUGGGACCGCUCCGCAGGGACUGCGUGCCGCCGGUGAGGAUCGUAACACAUAUGUAAUGCACACACGUCUUUGCCAUGUUUCAUGUUCGCGGGUGCACAGACGCACGUGUACAGAUACAAUAAUGCGAAUAGAGAAAGCGAAGUCAAGUCAAGCAACAACCGGACGUGUUCGUGUGACGCUAUUUUGUUCGGGUUUCUGUGCACAAUGAAUCAGCAGUGGUUAUAAGAUGUGUUUAUUUGGGGGAAGGCCUGUAUUUUUACCAACACGUUAAAAAUGAAAUGAACAAUAUUAUCUGUAUGUUAUAAUUGUCCAUUUGAGGGAGUCUUUUAUUUGGGGAAAAUGCUUUAAUCCUGAGCAGAUGAUUAGUUUAGUGUGCACCGAGGGAUGUUCAGACCUCUCAAACAUGUGAUUCGAUAGGUUGAGAAGUCAAAGCAAAUUCGAUGAGGGGAGCAUGAAGACCUUUUUGAUCUCAAUCGCCAUCUGCUUACCAAAGGGGGAGCGCUUGAGGGCUCAAAGACGAGAGACGCACACACACAUGCACGCACACUCACACUCAAUGAGCCCCCGGGGGGGUGGAGGGGGUCAUGUGAACCUCCCUCAUUCGGUGCCUUCUCGAUUUAACGUGCACCUCUUGAGACCUGUCAAAGGAAGCCAAACUCAACCUGUUCAACAUUAGUUUGUAAUGCCCCUUAGCAAUAGAUGUUAGCAUGAACUUAAUGGGUUGGUGGGUGUUGCGAAAAUGCUUCAUUCCAGAUAUGUGCAAUGAAAUAGUUCAUCACGGAGUUCAUGAUGGCAUGUAAACAAUUUUUGGGGCAGGUUCAUUUGAAUCUUCUUCUUCUUGGCUUGAUGAAAAUGGUUACUUUUGCAGAAAUGGGUCGUAAUGGAGGUAUGAAUGAAAACGAAAGGUGCUUUACGAUGACUAAAGAUGCCCUCGGUCAUUUUGACCCAUAUCACUGCUAUUAAAGAUGUAACAGGAGGUUUAUAAUGUCAAUUGACGUUUAGUUUUGUCUACACUUUAGACUAGGGGGUGUCAAACCCAUUUUUGUCUCGCGACACAUCAUUGUUACGGUUUCCCUUCGAGGGCCGUUAUGAAUUUUGGGAAACCAUAUAAAUGUUUAAUCACCUCCACAACAAACUGAUGGAUAACUAGUUUUAAAAUCAGAAGUAAAAAAUAAUCACCGUUAUUGUGGAUUACAUAUGACAAUUUGAAAUUUUGGUUCAGACUUUAGCAAGCAUCAUGGAACUUGACAG